GGGCUUGAAUGUUCCCAAAACCGAAAGAUAUGGCCUCCCUUCGGGGCGGGUUCACAGGUGGUGCAUGGUCCUCGUCAGCUCGUGUCGUGAGAUGUUGGGUUGAGUCCCGCAACGAGCGCAACCCUCGCCCUGUGUUGCCAGCACGUCAUGGUGGGAACUCACGGGGGACCGCCGGGGUCAACUCGGAGGAAGGUGGGGAUGACGUCAAAUCAUCAUGCCCCUUACGUCCAGGGCUUCACGCAUGCUACAAUGGCCGGUACAGCGGGAUGCGACAUGGCGACAUGGAGCGGAUCCCUGAAAACCGGUCUCAGUUCGGAUUGGAGUCUGCAACCCGACUCCAUGAAGGCGGAGUCGCUAGUAAUCGCGGAUCANCAACNCCGCGGUGAAUGCGUUCCCGGGUCUUGU
Molecule: ribosomal RNA, 405 nt
Filed under: uncultured bacterium
Lineage: Bacteria
Description: bacterial SSU rRNA
Rfam family: Bacterial small subunit ribosomal RNA
Source: RNAcentral